GGAGCCUACCAGGGGGAUACGGGGUAAUAUACCCUGAGGAAACUCCGGCCUCCAGAUCCCCAGGGAAGUCGUAUAAGACAAGGGUAGAACCCUUGGCUACGGAACAGAAACGAGACCGGUAUAAUGGAAGAUGAAAAUGAGAUAACCCCUAGCUUAGGUGACUAAGCUAGGGGAUCGAGAUCCAUUAUACCGGUUGAAACGGCCGACCUUCUCGGAGCAAGUAGAGAAGGAGAUGAAUAGGGGAUCUGAUCCUUCUCUUGACGCUAAGUCGAAUUCCCCCUAAAUACAGAAGCCGGGUUAUUGGUAGGCUCC
Molecule: RNase P RNA, 312 nt
Filed under: Stygiolobus azoricus
Lineage: Archaea; Thermoproteati; Thermoproteota; Thermoprotei; Sulfolobales; Sulfolobaceae
Description: Archaeal RNase P
Rfam family: Archaeal RNase P
About the family: Ribonuclease P (RNase P) is a ubiquitous endoribonuclease, found in archaea, bacteria and eukarya as well as chloroplasts and mitochondria. Its best characterised activity is the generation of mature 5'-ends of tRNAs by cleaving the 5'-leader elements of precursor-tRNAs. Cellular RNase Ps are ribonucleoproteins.
Source: Rfam by way of RNAcentral